Molecule: ribosomal RNA, 253 nt
Filed under: uncultured bacterium
Lineage: Bacteria
Description: partial 16S ribosomal RNA
Rfam family: Bacterial small subunit ribosomal RNA
Source: RNAcentral
UACGGAGGGUGCAAGCGUUGCUCGGAAUUAUUGGGCGUAAAGGGUAGGUAGGUGGUCUCAUUUGUCUGGGGUGAAAGCCUUGAGCUUAACUCAAGAAGUGCCCCAGAGACGGUGAGACUAGAGUCCUGGAGAGGGUCGUGGAAUUCCCGGUGUAGCGGUGAAAUGCGUAGAGAUCGGGAGGAACACCAGAGGCGAAGGCGGCGACCUGGACAGGUACUGACACUCAACUACGAAAGCGUGGGGAGUAAACAGG